GGGCCAGUCAGCUUAGUUGGUUAGAGCGUGGUGCUGAUAACACCAAGGUCGCAGGUUUGAUCCUCAUUCGGUCCC
RNAcentral lists this transfer RNA (75 nucleotides) under Apaloderma vittatum (bar-tailed trogon). It matches the Rfam family "tRNA". From Rfam's summary of the family: Transfer RNA (tRNA) molecules are approximately 80 nucleotides in length. The record is from Rfam by way of RNAcentral. Lineage: Eukaryota; Metazoa; Chordata; Aves; Trogoniformes; Trogonidae.